Molecule: transfer RNA, 73 nt
Filed under: Bufotes turanensis (Turan toad)
Lineage: Eukaryota; Metazoa; Chordata; Amphibia; Anura; Bufonidae
Description: tRNA-Thr
Rfam family: tRNA
About the family: Transfer RNA (tRNA) molecules are approximately 80 nucleotides in length. Their secondary structure includes four short double-helical elements and three loops (D, anti-codon, and T loops). Further hydrogen bonds mediate the characteristic L-shaped molecular structure. tRNAs have two regions of fundamental functional importance: the anti-codon, which is responsible for specific mRNA codon recognition, and the 3' end, to which the tRNAs corresponding amino acid is attached (by aminoacyl-tRNA synthetases). tRNAs cope with the degeneracy of the genetic code in two manners: having more than one tRNA (with a specific anti-codon) for a particular amino acid; and 'wobble' base-pairing, i.e. permitting non-standard base-pairing at the 3rd anti-codon position.
Source: RNAcentral
GCUUCAGUAGCUUAACUCUUAAAGCAUUGGUCUUGUAAACCAAAGAAUGAAGAAUAAAACCUUCCUGAGGCUC